This is a long non-coding RNA of Anopheles merus, 966 nucleotides long. RefSeq lists it as uncharacterized. The record is from RefSeq and is a predicted model, not a curated record. Lineage: Eukaryota; Metazoa; Arthropoda; Insecta; Diptera; Culicidae. The transcript has 3 exons.
GUGCAGUGGUUUGGGAAAAGCAUGGAAUCAGAAAGUUAGGUUACGGAGAAAAAUAAGUUUUCUGCAGAAAAAUAAUGUAUUAAAUUCACUGUUUAGGUUUAGAAUUAUUUUUUAUACCUCAGACAUCAGUAAUCUUCAUUACUUCGAUCUCGAAAGAGCGAAAGACAGGUUUAAAAGGAACCAGCACACCAAGCAGCAACACUUCGUCUUAAGCUAAUUAGUACGACAAAUGAUUUAUUUUCCCCACUGUUUUCACUUCGGAUGUAAUCCAGUAGUACCGGCUUGUUGGCUGACAGUGGCAAGAUGUUUUCAAUUUCCUACUCCACUUCAUAGUGGUACCAUAGCUCCCCGUAGCCGUAGCCAAGCACAACCAGUCAGAGUGGCGGCGUUCAAUCAAACCUGAAGCUAUUCUGUGCCAGAAGCGCCCGGCUGGACGGAAGGAUCGAAAGCCACAAUACCACCGGGGUAAAACACGCAGAAAAACGAACUUGCUGUUACGACGUCUGCCCUUCAAAAGGGGGAAGGAGUGCAUUAAGAACGGCAGCAGUAGCAGCAGCAGCAGCAGCAGCAAAAAACACCCUGCCUGAGUUCAUCGUCUCGGCAGAUCGAUCAGAAGAUAGCGAACAAAAGGGAAUGGAGCGUUAAAGGCAAAAGGAGUGAGUGAACGAAGAACAAAAAAAAAUCACAAACUAUCAGAAUUCCCAGUAGCAAAUUAUCGUAUAAUUGAGCGUGGUAAAGAGUUAUGAAAAAAAGGGUAACACAAAAAAACACAACACAGCAGUAACGCAAUAGGGGAAUCAAAUGCCAAAAGCGAAAUAAAAAAAGAGAAAACACUGAACAACAAAAACUACAGCAACAAAAGACUCUCACACACACACACGAGCGCUUGUGCAGUACGGCAGAGAAAAACAACGUGCAACAUUACUGCUAAACAAAGAAUCUUCAGUGCAUCAACGAUGCAUCAGA